This 66-nucleotide transfer RNA is filed under the name Acantholachesilla sp. AcspLA. RNAcentral describes it as "tRNA-Ser". The record is from RNAcentral. Lineage: Eukaryota; Metazoa; Arthropoda; Insecta; Psocodea; Lachesillidae.
GAACUAUCAGGCCCCCACUUAAGCUGCUAACUUAGGUUCAAAUGGUUAAAAUCCAUUUAUAGUUCU